Molecule: transfer RNA, 99 nt
Filed under: Pyrodictium delaneyi
Lineage: Archaea; Thermoproteati; Thermoproteota; Thermoprotei; Desulfurococcales; Pyrodictiaceae
Description: tRNA-Gln
Rfam family: tRNA
About the family: Transfer RNA (tRNA) molecules are approximately 80 nucleotides in length. Their secondary structure includes four short double-helical elements and three loops (D, anti-codon, and T loops).
Source: RNAcentral
AGCCGGGUCGUCUAGCGGUCAAGGAUGCGGGGCUCUGGCCCGAGACAGCCCUCGGGGAGAACCCCCGUGACCGGGGUUCGAAUCCCCGCCCGGCUACCA